UCCUCGGUGGCUCAGAUGGAUAGAGCGUCUGCCAUGUAAGCAGAAGAUCCCGGGUUCGAGUCCCGGUCGGGGCA
RNAcentral lists this transfer RNA (74 nucleotides) under Schistocerca americana (American grasshopper). RNAcentral describes it as "tRNA-Thr". It matches the Rfam family "tRNA". From Rfam's summary of the family: Transfer RNA (tRNA) molecules are approximately 80 nucleotides in length. Their secondary structure includes four short double-helical elements and three loops (D, anti-codon, and T loops). RNAcentral also lists the same sequence under 5 other names. Lineage: Eukaryota; Metazoa; Arthropoda; Insecta; Orthoptera; Acrididae. The record is from RNAcentral.